This 485-nucleotide ribosomal RNA is filed under the name uncultured bacterium. RNAcentral's name for it is "partial 16S ribosomal RNA". The stretch from base 52 to 485 matches the Rfam family "Bacterial small subunit ribosomal RNA", at positions 35 to 508 of the family's 1533-position model. The record is from RNAcentral.
GGGGGGGGGGGGGGGGGGGGGGGGGGGGUGCGGGGGGGGGGGGGGGGGGGGGCUGGCGGCGGGAUUGAGCGGCGGAGGGGUGAGGGAUGCGUAGGGAUGUGGGUGGGGGUGGGGGAUAACGUCGGGGAACGGGCGCUCAUACGGCAUACGUCGUGAGGGGGUCAGGGGGGGGUCGUGGGACAUCCCGCUCGCAGGUGCGCCUCGGUCGGAUUAGCUAGUUGGGGGGGUACAGGCCUACCAAGGCGACGAUCCGUAACUGGUCUGGGAGGAUGAUCAGUCACACUGAAACUGAGACACGGUCCACACUCCUACGGGAGGCAGCAGUGGGGAAUAUUGGACAAUGGGCGAAAGCCUGAUCCAGCCAUGCCGCGUGUGUGAAGAAGGUCUUCGGAUUGUAAAGCACUUUAAGUUGGGAGGAAGGGCAGUAAGUUAAUACCUUGCUGUUUUGACGUUACCAACAGAAUAAGCACCGGCUAACUUCGUGC